UGGGGAAUUUUGGACAAUGGGCGCAAGCCUGAUCCAGCUAUUCCGCGUGUGGGAUGACGGCCCUCGGGUUGUAAACCACUUUAGUAGAGAACGAAAAGGAGCUAUCGAAUAAAUAGCUCUGCUGACGGUACUCUAAGAAUAAGCACCGGCUAACUACGUGCC
RNAcentral lists this ribosomal RNA (162 nucleotides) under uncultured bacterium. RNAcentral's name for it is "partial 16S ribosomal RNA". It matches the Rfam family "Bacterial small subunit ribosomal RNA", at positions 355 to 509 of the family's 1533-position model. The record is from RNAcentral.